Molecule: ribosomal RNA, 446 nt
Filed under: uncultured bacterium
Lineage: Bacteria
Description: partial 16S ribosomal RNA
Rfam family: Bacterial small subunit ribosomal RNA
Source: RNAcentral
CCUACGGGGAGCAGCAGUCGAGAAUCAUUCACAAUGGGGGAAACCCUGAUGGGGCGACGCCGCGUGGGGGAAUGAAGGUCUACGGAUUGUAAACCCCUGUCAUGUGGGAGCAAAUUAAAAAGAUAGUACCACAAGAGGAAGAGACGGCUAACUCUGUGCCAGCAGCCGCGGUAAUACAGAGGGCUCAAGCGUUGUUCGGAAUCACUGGGCGUAAAGCGUGCGUAGGCUGUUUCGUAAGUCGUGUGUGAAAGGCGCGGGCUCAACCCGCGGACGGCACAUGAUACUGCGAGACUAGAGUAAUGGAGGGGGAACCGGAAUUCUCGGUGUAGCAGUGAAAUGCGUAGAUAUCGAGAGGAACACUCGUGGCGAAGGCGGGUUCCUGGACAUUAACUGACGCUGAGGCACGAAGGCCAGGGGAGCGAAAAGGAUUAGAUACCCCUGUAGUC